Molecule: long non-coding RNA, 563 nt
Organism: Suricata suricatta (meerkat)
Lineage: Eukaryota; Metazoa; Chordata; Mammalia; Carnivora; Herpestidae
Exons: 3
Source: RefSeq, a predicted model, not a curated record
CUCUGAGUGGCCCUGCGGCUUUGCUGGGAGGUGAGGGACACGGAGCUGCAGGGACCCCAUCCAGCCUCUCAGCUUUACUCCGGCACCACUGGCUGAGUGUGGAAUGUCUGGUGAAGUUGUGCAGGGUUCUUGCUUCUACAUAACCCCAUCAGCAAAAUCCGAUAAACAGCGGCUGUUGAUUGUUGGUCUUAUGGACACGAAGAUGCUUUAUUCUCCAUGGAGUGAAGGCAUUUCCUUGCCUCCCGUUCCCCAGGACAGGAAUGACAGACCUUUACUAUCCCUGCCCUUGGUGCCUGGUGGCCAGUGCGGUCAGCUGGCUGCCCUGUGAAGGGAGAACGGAGAGUCUGAGCAGUAGCGCCAAGGCGGCACCAGGCCUCCCAGCAAGGCGUCCCAGGUCCUCACCAGACCACGCAGGGGUGUGGCCCUGCUGGUCCUUCACUGCUCUUUGCCCUUGGGUUUUGCCUAUCUCCCCAUCGUGAAGCCCUGUACUGCCUUCCCAGCCUUUGUGAUGAUUCUGUGAGCUGCCUGAGAUGUUUCCAAAAACACACAGAAUGGAAUAAAAG